RNAcentral lists this ribosomal RNA (705 nucleotides) under Glomeromycotina sp. OTU25 DJMC-2012. Its description in RNAcentral is "eukaryotic LSU rRNA". It matches the Rfam family "Eukaryotic large subunit ribosomal RNA", at positions 48 to 656 of the family's 3401-position model. The record is from RNAcentral. Lineage: Eukaryota; Fungi; Glomeromycota.
AAGCGGAGGAAAAGAAACUAACAAGGAUUCCCCUAGUAACGGCGAGUGAAGCGGGAACAGCUCAAAUUUUAANUCUGGCUGCUUCGCAGUCCGAGUUGUAAUUUGAAGGCGUCUGUCGCAUGUGAGACGAUGGCACAAGUCCUCUGGAACGUGGCAUCGUAGAGGGUGAGAAUCCCGUCUCUGGUCGUUGUCUUGCAGGCACACGGCAGGCGAUCCGAAGAGUCGAGUUGUUUGGGAUUGCAGCUCCAAAUGGGUGGUAAACUCCAUCUAAGGCUAAAUAUUGGCGAGAGACCGAUAGCGAACAAGUACCGUGAGGGAAAGAUGAAAAGAACUUUGAAAAGAGAGUAAAACAGUACGUGAAAUUGUUGAAAGGGAAACGCUUGAAGUCAGUCGUGCCGGCGGGGAUUCAGCGAACUUCGCGGAGUGAGCGUAUUUCCUCGCAUGGCAGGUCAGCGUCAGUUUUGCGCGUCGUGAAAGGGCUCGGGUAAGGUGACUCUCUUCGGGGAGUGUUAUAGGCCUGAGCAGAUGCGAUGCGCGGGACUGAGGAUUGCAGCGGACACCCUUCGGGGCGCGGCGACCGAUCCCUGCUCUGUCACCUUCGUCCGAUAGCGUGCUAACGGUCGGGGGAGCGGCGGUUGCACCGGGUUGGCAAGCCGGCGGCUNCGCUAAGGAUGCUGGCGUAAUGGCUUUAAACGACCCGUCUUG